AUCGUUCAUCCUCUUGUUUCCAUUCAGGAGAUGAGGACGGAAGUAGGGGGCACCGGACUCCGAAGGAACGCGCC
Molecule: non-coding RNA, 74 nt
Filed under: Lyngbya confervoides
Lineage: Bacteria; Bacillati; Cyanobacteriota; Cyanophyceae; Oscillatoriales; Microcoleaceae
Also listed under: 1 other name
Description: Glutamine-I sequence
Rfam family: Glutamine riboswitch aptamer (glnA leader)
Source: RNAcentral